This 253-nucleotide ribosomal RNA is filed under the name uncultured bacterium. Its description in RNAcentral is "partial 16S ribosomal RNA". It matches the Rfam family "Bacterial small subunit ribosomal RNA", at positions 524 to 776 of the family's 1533-position model. The record is from RNAcentral.
UACGUAGGGUGCAAGCGUUGUCCGGAAUUAUUGGGCGUAAAGAGCUCGUAGGCGGCCUGUCGCGUCUGCUGUGAAAACUCAGGGCUUAACCCUGAGCUUGCAGUGGGUACGGGCAGACUAGAGUGCGGUAGGGGUGACUGGAAUUCCUGGUGUAGCGGUGGAAUGCGCAGAUAUCAGGAGGAACACCGAUGGCGAAGGCAGGUCACUGGGCCGCAACUGACGCUGAGGAGCGAAAGCAUGGGGAGCGAACAGG